Molecule: unclassified non-coding RNA, 272 nt
Filed under: plant metagenome
Description: partial contains small subunit ribosomal RNA, internal transcribed spacer 1, and 5.8S ribosomal RNA
Source: RNAcentral
UAUCCGUAGGUGAACCUGCGGAAGGAUCAUUAAUGAGUUGUCAUGGGGUUCGAUGCUGGCAGCCAGUUUUUGGAUGCAUGUGCUUGCCCUAACAAUCAUCUUCUUCCAAACACCUGUGCACAUUUUUGAGGGAGUCUUGAGUUGGUUGCCGCUCUUGGGUGAUUUUCUCACAUUCCCUUAAAUCAUUAUACGCUAUUAACAAUGUUGAACGUGCUCUGUGCCGCAAGGCCAUUAAUAUAAUACAACUUUUAACAACGGAUCUCUUGGCUCUC